RNAcentral lists this ribosomal RNA (296 nucleotides) under Actinacidiphila epipremni. RNAcentral describes it as "Streptomyces sp. PRB2-1 partial 23S ribosomal RNA". It matches the Rfam family "Bacterial large subunit ribosomal RNA", at positions 290 to 584 of the family's 2925-position model. The record is from RNAcentral. Lineage: Bacteria; Bacillati; Actinomycetota; Actinomycetes; Kitasatosporales; Streptomycetaceae.
GUCGUCUGCCGGCGGCUGGGUGAGUCAGAAACCAUUGCGAUAGGCGAAGGGCAUGCGAAAGGCCCGGCGUAGAGGGUAAGACCCCCGUAGCUGAAAUCGUGGUGGCUUGCUUGUUCAUUUCCCAAGUAGCACAGGGCCCGAGAAAUCCUGUGUGAAUCUGGCGGGACCACCCGCUAAGCCUAAAUAUUCCCUGGUGACCGAUAGCGGAUAGUACCGUGAGGGAAUGGUGAAAAGUACCGCGGGAGCGGAGUGAAAUAGUACCUGAAACCGUGUGCCUACAAGCCGUGGGAGCGUCG